RNAcentral lists this unclassified non-coding RNA (446 nucleotides) under Hevea brasiliensis (rubber tree). Lineage: Eukaryota; Viridiplantae; Streptophyta; Magnoliopsida; Malpighiales; Euphorbiaceae. The record is from RNAcentral.
CUUCAUAAUGCUUCUGUCAAUAUUGGCAUUGCCACCUAGGUGACAGAAGUUAAGGUGUUAAAUUACAUUGAAAAGAGAACAUAUCAAUGUUUCUUUAGAAAGAAUACACAAGGAAGAACACUAACAACACAUCAAAUGACCAAUUAAAUACUAAAGAAAGGGGAUAAACAUGGCGCACAAUUACUUGGCCAAGCUGAUUCCAGCCCUAAUCACACCAAUGCCUCUUGGGUCAAGAUUAACCUAGAACCCUAAUCAUGAUCAAGCUCGUUCGGAACAAUAAUUUGGGGCUUGAAGAAAGGAAAGAAUACGCUUCAUGCAAAUUGGGGCAAUCAUGCUUUUUUCACAGCAGAUUAGCAAACAGCCAAACCAAUCACAACAACAAACUAAAUUUAGUGAUUUCCUGAAGUUCAGGAAUGUCUAAGCCCAAAAUAAAAUAAGGAUACCGG